CCUACGGGUGGCAGCAGUAGGGAAUAUUGCGCAAUGGAGGAAACUCUGACGGAGCGACGCCGCGUGCAGGAAGAAGGUUUUCGGAUUGUAAACUGCUUUUGACAGGGAAGAAACAAGACAGUACCUGUAAAAUAAGCUCCGGCUAACUACGUGCCAGCAGCCGCGGUAAUCAGUAGGGAGCAAGCGUUAUCCGGAUUUAGUGGGUGUAAAGGGUGCGUAGUCGGGAAGUCAAGUUUGUUGUGAAAGCCUUCGGCUUAACUGAGGAAGUGCAACCAAAACUAACUGUCUUGAGUGCUGGAGAGGAAAGUGGAAUUCCUAGUGUAGCGGUGAAAUGCGUAGAUAUUAGGAGGAACACCAGUGGCGAAGGCGGCUUUCUGGACAGUAACUGACGUUGAGGCACGAAAGUGUGGGGAGCAAACAGGAUUAGAUAUCCCGGUAGUC
Molecule: ribosomal RNA, 441 nt
Filed under: uncultured bacterium
Lineage: Bacteria
Description: partial 16S ribosomal RNA
Rfam family: Bacterial small subunit ribosomal RNA
Source: RNAcentral